RNAcentral lists this small RNA (107 nucleotides) under Marmota monax (woodchuck). The record is from RNAcentral. Lineage: Eukaryota; Metazoa; Chordata; Mammalia; Rodentia; Sciuridae.
GCCGGGCGCAGUGGUGCACUCCUGUGAUCCCAGUGGCUUGGGAGGCUGAGGCAGGAGGACUGUGAGUUCAAAGCCAACCUCAGCAACUUAGCGAGAUCCUGUCUCUA